Molecule: ribosomal RNA, 253 nt
Filed under: uncultured bacterium
Lineage: Bacteria
Description: partial 16S ribosomal RNA
Rfam family: Bacterial small subunit ribosomal RNA
Source: RNAcentral
UACGGGGGGGGCAAGCGUUGUUCGGAAUUACUGGGCGUAAAGGGCUCGUAGGCGGCCAACUAAGUCAUACGUGAAAUCCCUCGGCUUAACCGGGGAACUGCGUCUGAUACUGGAUGGGUUGAGUUCGGGAGAGGGAUGCGGAAUUCCAGGUGUAGCGGUGAAAUGCGUAGAUAUCUGGAGGAACACCGGUGGCGAAGGCGGCAUCCUGGACCGAUACUGACGCUGAGGAGCGAAAGCCAGGGGAGCAAACGGG